UACGGGGGGGGCAAGCGUUGUUCGGAAUUACUGGGCGUAAAGGGCUCGUAGGCGGCCACCUAAGUCAGACGUGAAAUCCCUCGGCUUAACCGGGGAACUGCAUCUGAUACUGGAUGGCUUGAGUUCGGGAGAGGGAUGCGGAAUUCCAGGUGUAGCGGUGAAAUGCGUAGAUAUCUGGAGGAACACCGGUGGCGAAGGCGGCAUCCUGGACCGACACUGACGCUGAGGAGCGAAAGCCAGGGGAGCAAACGGG
Molecule: ribosomal RNA, 253 nt
Filed under: uncultured bacterium
Lineage: Bacteria
Description: partial 16S ribosomal RNA
Rfam family: Bacterial small subunit ribosomal RNA
Source: RNAcentral